UACCCGCGACAGGACGGAAAGACCCCGUGGAGCUUUACUGUAGCCUGAUAUUGAAUUUUGGUACAGUUUGUACAGGAUAGGCGGGAGCCUUUGAAACCGGAGCGCUAGCUUCGGUGGAGGCGCUGGUGGGAUACCGCCCUGACUGUAUUGAAAUUCUAACCUACGGGUCUUAUCGACCCGGGAGACAGUGUCAGGUGGGCAGGUUGACUGGGGCGGUCGCCUCCUAAAGUGUAACGGAGGCGCCCAAAGGUUCCCUCAGAAUGGUUGGAAAUCAUUCGUAGAGUGCAAAGGCAUAAGGGAGCUUGACUGCGAGACCUACAAGUCGAGCAGGGACGAAAGUCGGGCUUAGUGAUCCGGUGGUUCCGCAUGGAAGGGCCAUCGCUCAACGGAUAAAAGCUACCCCGGGGAUAACAGGCUUAUCUCCCCCAAGAGUCCACAUCGACGGGGAGGUUUGGCACCUCGAUGUCGGCUCAUCGCAUCCUGGGGCUGUAGUCGGUCCCAAGGGUUGGGCUGUUCGCCCAUUAAAGCGGUACGCGAGCUGGGUUCAGAACGUCGUGAGACAGUUCGGUCCCUAUCCGUCGUGGGCGUAGGAAAUUUGAGAGGAGCUGUCCUUAGUACGAGAGGACCGGGAUGGACGCACCGCUGGUGUACCAGUUGUUCUGCCAAGGGCAUAGCUGGGUAGCUAUGUGCGGAAGGGAUAAGUGCUGAAAGCAUCUAAGCAUGAAGCCCCCCUCAAGAUGAGAUUUCCCAUAGCGUAAGCUAGUAAGAUCCCUGAAAGAUGAUCAGGUUGAUAGGUUCGAGGUGGAAGCAUGGUGACAUGUGGAGCUGACGAAUACUAAUAGAUCGAGGACUUA
Molecule: ribosomal RNA, 854 nt
Filed under: Bacillus anthracis (anthrax bacterium)
Lineage: Bacteria; Bacillati; Bacillota; Bacilli; Caryophanales; Bacillaceae
Description: bacterial LSU rRNA
Rfam family: Bacterial large subunit ribosomal RNA
Source: RNAcentral